Molecule: ribosomal RNA, 301 nt
Filed under: uncultured bacterium
Lineage: Bacteria
Description: partial 16S ribosomal RNA
Rfam family: Bacterial small subunit ribosomal RNA
Source: RNAcentral
CAGUAGCCGCGGUAAUACGUAGGUGGCGAGCGUUGUCCGGAAUUAUUGGGCGUAAAGGGCUCGCAGGCGGUUUCUUAAGUCUGAUGUGAAAGCCCCCGGCUCAACCGGGGAGGGUCAUUGGAAACUGGGAAACUUGAGUGCAGAAGAGGAGAGUGGAAUUCCACGUGGAGCGGUGAAAUGCGUAGAGAUGUGGAGGAACACCAGUGGCGAAGGCGACUCUCUGGUCUGUAACUGACGCUGAGGAGCGAAAGCGUGGGGAGCGAACAGGAUUAGAUACCCCCGUAGUCCCUGUCUCUUAUAC